Long non-coding RNA from Medicago truncatula (barrel medic), 784 nucleotides. RefSeq lists it as uncharacterized. NCBI's taxonomy places the organism in Eukaryota, Viridiplantae, Streptophyta, Magnoliopsida, Fabales, Fabaceae. The record is from RefSeq and is a predicted model, not a curated record. The transcript has 2 exons.
UCAAUAUUUUAUCAAUAUAUUUUUAUUAUUUUACUGAUAGAUUUCUAACCAAAUAUGGAUUUAGAUUGUUAGUCCGCGUACUACUUCUUCAAGGAAGCCUAGACACCCAAAAACACUUUCACUUGAAUGGAUUUGCAAUUGGGAUGUCCAAGAACGUUCACGAUGAAUGGACUGACAAUUUAGAUGUUGAAGAAUGGUCGAGACCUGACGAUAGGAUUGAUAAGCAAAACGAAAGACCAUGUCAUGACACUUGGUUUAUUGCAUGGGUUACACUUGUCUUGUUGCAUGCAUUCAUCUUUACACUUGGUUUGUUGCAUGUAUUCCUCAUGAACCAAGUGACAUGACUCAUGAGGAAUACAUACAAACAAGUCAAGUGUCAAGAGGAAUACAUGCAUCAAGCCAAGUGUUACCCAGGAAAUAAACCAAAUGUCAUGAUUCAUGAGGAAUACAUGCAACAAGCCAAGUAUCAAGAUGAUUGCAUGCAACAAGUCAAGUGUUACCCAUGCAAUAACCAAGUGUCAUAUUAAUGAGGAAUACAUGCAAGAAUCCAAGUGUCAAGAGGAAUACAUUAGCAAUCUAGUGUUAUCCAUACAAUAAACUAAGUGUAUGACUCAUGGAAAAUACAUGCAACAAGUCAGGUGUUAAAAGGAAUACAUGCGGCAAAUCAAUAGUUACCAAUGCAAUAAACAAAGUGUCAUGACUCAUGGGGCCGAAUUACAAAAGAAAUGUCAUUUGUAUGAGUAUUUGAAUCAAAGUGGCCUUGGAAUAGAGGAGCAUUCACACA